RNAcentral lists this small RNA (94 nucleotides) under Lupinus albus (white lupine). Its description in RNAcentral is "hypothetical ncRNA". The stretch from base 19 to 92 matches the Rfam family "tRNA". Rfam says of the family: Transfer RNA (tRNA) molecules are approximately 80 nucleotides in length. Their secondary structure includes four short double-helical elements and three loops (D, anti-codon, and T loops). Lineage: Eukaryota; Viridiplantae; Streptophyta; Magnoliopsida; Fabales; Fabaceae. The record is from RNAcentral.
UACGAGGAUUCCCGCUAAGCAUCCAUGGCUGAAUGGUUAAAGCAUCCAACUCAUAAUUGGCGAAUUCGUAGAUUCAAUUCCUACUGUUUCCACG